This 497-nucleotide ribosomal RNA is filed under the name uncultured bacterium. RNAcentral's name for it is "partial 16S ribosomal RNA". It matches the Rfam family "Bacterial small subunit ribosomal RNA", at positions 28 to 507 of the family's 1533-position model. The record is from RNAcentral.
GAUGAACGCUGGCGGCGUGCCUAAUACAUGCAAGUCGAGCGAACGGACGAGAAGCUUGCUUCUCUGAUGUUAGCGGCGGACGGGUGGGUAACACGUGGAUAACCUACCUAUAAGACUGGGAUAACUUCGGGAAACCGGAGCUAAUACCGGAUAAUAUUUUGAACCGCAUGGUUCAAAAGUGAAAGACGGUCCUGCUGUCACUUAUAGAUGGAUCCGCGCUGCAUUAGCUAGUUGGUAAGGUAACGGCUUACCAAGGCAACGAUGCAUAGCCGACCUGAGAGGGUGAUCGGCCACACUGGAACUGAGACACGGUCCAGACUCCUACGGGAGGCAGCAGUAGGGAAUCUUCCGCAAUGGGCGAAAGCCUGACGGAGCAACGCCGCGUGAGUGAUGAAGGUCCUCGGAUCGUAAAACUCUGUUAUUAGGGAAGAACAUAUGUGUAAGUAACUGUGCACAUCUUGACGGUACCUAAUCAGAAAGCCACGGCUAACUACGUG